Small nucleolar RNA from Dioscorea cayenensis subsp. rotundata (Guinea yam), 112 nucleotides. The record is from RefSeq and is a predicted model, not a curated record. Lineage: Eukaryota; Viridiplantae; Streptophyta; Magnoliopsida; Dioscoreales; Dioscoreaceae.
AAACCAUGGUGGGGGCACAAUCUCAUUAACUCCUUGAACCUAUCCCAAGCUUCAUACAAUGAUACACCAUCGCUUUGAGAAAAACCAAUAAUUUGGUUCCACAAUUGAGUAG